AUUUAUCUUGUGGGUGGGUGGGUGGGGGGGUCAUUAGUUAUGGCUUCUGCAGAACCCACAGUAGUUCAGCAGGCAUUUGGAAAUCCGAGAAUAAACACUUAGCGAAUCAGUUCAAAUGAAUCAAGGAACCGACUCGUUUGCGACUCGGACUCCGCUACGCUGUGAACCGAGCGUGAAUGAUGCUCUCGGACUAACAAGGCACAGUGAUGCUCAGAGAGGAGGACAGAUGACUCGGGGAAGACGGUCUCUCUUCAGCGUUAUGAUUCAUUUAGAGUAGUGUUUUAUUACUGCGUAGCACGCGCUGGAUUUUAUAGCAGAGGAGAACACGAUAGGCGAUAUCGGAUGGUCGGUGAAAGGAGGAGAGAAAGGGGGGUGUAUGAUCUUAAUGAUGAUUUAUAGGCUACAGCGGACCGUCACUUAAUUCUGAAUCAGCCUGAAUAGCGUGCAACUUCUGAAGGGAAAUAACAGAAACACCUUUUCCUCGGUAAAGGGCAGAUGGAUGGAGAGACAGGCAGAAGAAGGGCUCUCUGAUGAAAAGAGCAACCUCCCUUUGGAAUGAACAAAAAAUGAUGAAUGUGCUUUUUCCCUGAUUGGUCCAGCAAAACAGAAAAGACUCCACUUAGCGAGGACAUCUGAGAACAGAACUGAACAAUGACAGUGAACAAUGGCACAUAAUUACAAAUAACUCUGUUCUGUGGCUUCUCAUUCUGUGUGAGGAACAGAAGUCAGAUAUUUUGCAAGCUUGCAUGCCAUGAAAGAGGAUUUGAAAUACUGGCUUGUGACCGAAGUGGCUCGUUGGAAUUCAUGAGGAAUGUGGAUCAGAUAUCUUAUAGCUUUUCGAUUCUGAGGGCCAUUUUACUGACUUUUUAUUUUUUGCCAAUUAAAAUUUUUCAAGCACUUCCUGGCACAUCUUUUGACUGAUUAGAGCCUCCUUACGAAUCUCAACGUUCCUGAACAUUCUGCAUGGAUAAAUCCGCUCAGGAUGAACAGCGUUGCAUCUCACUGAUUCUCAGACUCAACCCAAUGAGAAGUGGAGUCAACAGCAGGACAGAGAUCCAGUCAGUCAGUGUGGAGUCCAUUAUCCUUCACUGCCAGAUCUCCCUCAGAGCUGAAACAGCACCUACUCAGCUUUGGUGUCAGAAGGUAAAAGAAAACGUGCCACAAGACCAAAUGGACUUCUGAAUCAUCUGGUGUAAAGAACCAUUAUAUUGGUUGAAUUGAGCUAUAAAAGGCAAGUGGAGGC
RNAcentral lists this long non-coding RNA (1243 nucleotides) under Carassius auratus (goldfish). RNAcentral describes it as "lncRNA (ENSCARG00000005109.1)". The record is from RNAcentral. Lineage: Eukaryota; Metazoa; Chordata; Actinopteri; Cypriniformes; Cyprinidae.